This is a long non-coding RNA of Homo sapiens (human), 465 nucleotides long. The record is from Ensembl. Lineage: Eukaryota; Metazoa; Chordata; Mammalia; Primates; Hominidae.
AAGAGAUGUUAACAGGCUGUAUGAUGUUGGCCACAGAGUGCCCCCCUAAAGAGGCCUCAGAAGAAUGAAGGGUAAGAAGCUCCUCCAUGAAAUCAGAUGGCACAAAAUUAGAGGAAAAAGAGUCCUUGGCAUGAGGCUGCCACCAGGAGAAUUCUGAAGAUGCAGGGCAUGAAUGGUCAAUGCCUUUCGUUGUUGGGGCAGAGGUGGAUGACCCACCAGAGCCACCUAGAGAUAACAUUUCCGGAAAAGUCUUCAAGACGUAAACCAGGCAUUACCCAAGUCCCACUUCGCUGUUUGGAGCCCUUAACUUGGACCCCACCAACUACACUGCCUUGAAAGCCUGAAAUACUGCCUGGAAUAUUUGUUGUACCCAGGCUUUUCUACUCUCAGGAUCACAUAUGUCCUCAAAUCCGUCUUAUCUACAGUAUGUUUUUGCCUUACAUAAAUGCAGAUAUAAAACUUAAA